RNAcentral lists this transfer RNA (67 nucleotides) under Schistosoma mansoni. The record is from RNAcentral. Lineage: Eukaryota; Metazoa; Platyhelminthes; Trematoda; Strigeidida; Schistosomatidae.
UCCUAAUCGCCACUUGCCUGUGAGAUGGGGUGAAGUUGAAAUCUACUUAGUAUUGUUUGUUCGGAUC